This 782-nucleotide ribosomal RNA is filed under the name uncultured Neocallimastigales. RNAcentral describes it as "partial large subunit ribosomal RNA". It matches the Rfam family "Eukaryotic large subunit ribosomal RNA", at positions 23 to 635 of the family's 3401-position model. The record is from RNAcentral. Lineage: Eukaryota; Fungi; Neocallimastigomycota; Neocallimastigomycetes; Neocallimastigales.
GAGAUGUGUGAUGACGCAUAUCAAUAAGCGGAGGAAAAGAAACUAACAAGGAUUCCCUUAGUAACGGCGAGUGAAGCGGGAAGAGCUCAAAUUUGAAAUCUUCAAGGUUCUACCUUGACGAAUUGUAGUUUAUAGAAGUGUUUUCUGUUAGUGGAGUGGCAAAAGUUCUUUGGAAUAGGACAUCAUAGAGGGUGAGAAUCCCGUAUUUGGUCAUUCCUCCUAGCGUUGUGAUACACUUUCAACGAGUCGGAUUGUUUGGGAAUGCAGUCCAAAAUGGGUGGUAAAUUUCAUCUAAAGCUAAAUACUGGCGAGAGACCGAUAGCGAACAAGUACCGUGAGGGAAAGAUGAAAAGAACUUUGAAAAGAGAGUUAAACAGUACGUGAAAUUGUCAAAAGGGAAGCGUUUGACACCAGUGUUGUUUUCUCGAAAAUCUAUUAAAAAUGGUGGGAUGUUGUGUUGUAUUGACUUUAUCAGCUUUCUGCACUUUUUUUCCUAUCUUUUUUUAAUGCACUUUUCGUUUAACAAGUCAACAUCAAUUUCUUUUGUUGUAAAGAGAGUCAUGAGGAAGGUGGCUUUCUUUUCGGAGAAAGUGUUUAUAGUCCUUUGGACCUUCUGCAAUCGGAGAGAUUGAGGUCUGCAGCGUAGAUCCUUCGGGGUUAGAUACAUUUGUGCUAAGUUAUAGCUUUUCAUAGACAACAUGUUGACUAUGAUUGAGUCAUUGUAGCUUACUCGCUUAUGCUAUUUUACCUACGCUUAGGAUGUUGAAGAUGUAGCACAUCAU